UGGGGAAUAUUGCACAAUGGACGGAAGUUUGAUGCAGCGACGCCGCGUGGAGGGUGUAGGCCUUCGGGUUGUGAACUCCUUUUUCUCGCGAAAAAGGCACAGUUUUGGCUGUGUUGAUGGUAGUGGGGGAAGAAGCGCCGGCUAACUACGUGCCAGCAGCCGCGGUAAUACGUAGGGCGCGAGCGUUGUCCGGAUUUAUUGGGCGUAAAGAGCUCGUAGGUGGUUCGUCGCGUCUGUCGUGAAAGCCAGCAGCUUAACUGUUGGUCCGCGGUGGGUACGGGCGGGCUUGAGUGCUGUAGGGGUGACUGGAAUUCCUGGUGUAGCGGUGGAAUGCGCAGAUAUCAGGAGGAACACCGAUGGCGAAGGCAGGUCACUGGGCCGUUACUGACACUGAGGAGCGAAAGCGUGGGGAGCGAACAGG
This 421-nucleotide ribosomal RNA is filed under the name Fusobacteriota bacterium. Its description in RNAcentral is "Fusobacteria bacterium partial 16S ribosomal RNA". It matches the Rfam family "Bacterial small subunit ribosomal RNA", at positions 355 to 776 of the family's 1533-position model. The record is from RNAcentral. Lineage: Bacteria; Fusobacteriati; Fusobacteriota.